CUACGGGAUGCUGCAGUAAGGAAUAUUGCGCAAUGGAGGCAACUCUGACGCAGCCAUGCCGCGUGCAGGAAGAAGGCCUUAUGGGUCGUAAACUGCUUUUAUUUAGGAAUAAACCCUCGCUCGUGAGCGAGGCUGAAGGUACUGAAUGAAUAAGCACCGGCUAACUCCGUGCCAGCAGCCGCGGUAAUACGGAGGGUGCAAGCGUUAUCCGGAUUUAUUGGGUUUAAAGGGUGCGCAGGCGGGCUAUUAAGUCAGUGGUGAAAUCCCGGGGCUCAACUCCGGAACUGCCAUUGAUACUGAUAGUCUUGAGUUUGGUUGAAGUGGGCGGAAUGUAGCAUGUAGCGGUGAAAUGCAUAGAUAUGCUACAGAACACCAAUCGCGAAGGCAGCUCACUAAGCCAAAACUGACGCUCAUGCACGAAAACGUGGGGAUCAAACAGGAUUAGAUACCCGAGUAGUC
This 459-nucleotide ribosomal RNA is filed under the name uncultured bacterium. Its description in RNAcentral is "partial 16S ribosomal RNA". It matches the Rfam family "Bacterial small subunit ribosomal RNA", at positions 339 to 795 of the family's 1533-position model. The record is from RNAcentral.